GUCACUACUCUUUUCUGCUCAUACAAACACAUAGCUAAACACAUUUCUAAAACAAAGCACUAGCUAAAGAAGCAAGAAACAGAGCAAAACAGAGAGAGUAAGAGAGAUGGAGGAGAAGCUGAACCAAACCCAAACCUCUAAAACCCAAACAGCAACUGUAUUUCCUAAAAAGAGGAAGUUAGUGAAGAGAUUGAUGUUUGAAUUUUUUCUCUCUAUUUUCAGCUGUUCUUCCCCUAAACCCCAAGAAGACAAGGAGAUUUGUAAUGGUCACAUGUGAAGAAGUUCUGAUGUUUUUACGGAGAUCUAUAGUUUGAAGAAUGUUUCUGGAAAUCAAAUAUGAGGGAAAAAGAAAAGGUAAGGAGAAAAAGUGAUCGAUGUAAUAUUAUUAGUUUCAUCGGUAAAUAUAAACUAUGGGAGUUGAACCGGUUCGACUCAAUAAAAAAUCCAAGUCGCCAACGAAGGGCGAGCGUAGAUGUCUUAAUGGUGCAAUCGGUGGUGGUGGUAUUGGCAGAGGCAGCGGUGGUGGGCAUCUUACUGGAGGUGUUAGUAGCGGUCUUGGUAGUGGUCAGUUGUGCUUGCUGACGAUGGCGCUGGGAAAGUGAUUUUAAUGGAAUCAAGCCCUCUUCAGAAACUAGGCGGGUAUAUGAGAUUUUUUUUUUUUUUCUUUUAUUAGAGUUGAGCCGGUUCGACUCUCCAACCUAAACAUGCCCUGGGUUAUUCUGAUAAAAUUAAUUUUUUUUCUUUUUUGACAUGCUGAUAAAAUUAAGUUGAUUUUGUAAUUCCUCUGCUUUUAUGAUUUACAUCAAUGAAACCAUAAUCUAGUAUGGUUAUACUUA
Molecule: long non-coding RNA, 836 nt
Organism: Jatropha curcas
Lineage: Eukaryota; Viridiplantae; Streptophyta; Magnoliopsida; Malpighiales; Euphorbiaceae
Source: RefSeq, a predicted model, not a curated record